CCUACGGGUGGCAGCAGUAGGGAAUUUUGCGCAAUGCGGGAAACCCUGACGCAGCAACACCGCGUGAAUGUUAAGCCCUUUGGGGUGUAAAGUUCUGUCAAUAGGGACGAAUUUUGACUGUACCUAUAAAGGAAGCACCGGCGAACUCCGUGCCAGCAGCCGCGGUAAUACGGGGGGUGCAAGCGUUGUCCGGAAUCAUUGGGCGUAAAGCGGUCGUAGGCGGUAUGUCAAGUAUGUUGUUAAAGCCCGGAGCUUAACUACGGUUCGGCAUUGGAUACUGGCCAACUAGAGUGUGUUAGAGGUAGAGAGAAGUCCUGGUGUAGCGGUGAAAUGCGUAGAUAUCAGGAGGAACAUCGGUAGCGAAAGCGCUAAACUGGACCAUUAUUGACGCUGAGGAACGAAAGCCAGGGGAGCAAAUGGGAUUAGAUACCCCGGUAGUC
Molecule: ribosomal RNA, 440 nt
Filed under: uncultured bacterium
Lineage: Bacteria
Description: partial 16S ribosomal RNA
Rfam family: Bacterial small subunit ribosomal RNA
Source: RNAcentral